This 205-nucleotide ribosomal RNA is filed under the name uncultured eukaryote. RNAcentral's name for it is "partial 18S ribosomal RNA". It matches the Rfam family "Eukaryotic small subunit ribosomal RNA", at positions 1299 to 1458 of the family's 1831-position model. The record is from RNAcentral.
UGGUGGGGUGAUUUGUCUGGUUGAUUCCGAUAACGAACGAGACGCCGAUUUACUAAAUAGUACGUGUGGUUUUCUAAUAGUGAAGCCCGGGAUGUGGGCGGGAGGGCGCAAGUUCUCUUGUUUCUCCUUGGUGAAUCUAGGAUUAUCCUAGCGGACUUCUUAGCAAGACUACCGGCGUUUAGCCGGGGGAAGUGGCGCAAUAACA